CCGCCGCUGAGACUCUCCUCGCAGCCUUCGCCUCCUCCUCCUCCUCCUCCUCCACCUCUCUCUCCCUUUCACUUUGGGUAAUAAAGGGAUUUGCGCGCAACAAAAGGGUCCGCACAACACAAAACAGGAGCCCCACAGCUGUCUCUCCAUCUGCGCCCGGCUGCCAGGAUCUCCCGCACGCAGACCUACAGCGGAGCCCGGCCGCCGCGCAGCUCGGGGAAACGCUCGCCCGCCCGCCGGGGGGUCUCCCGCCCGUGGACCUCGCCGCGUUCGACCCGCGGGCGCCCGGUGAGUGUCGCGCCCGCGUUCCGGCCCUGCGUGCUCCUGGAAGACAGGUCCAGCUCCGGCUCUCACAGGUUCCACAGACAGACACACACACAAGGAAACCCAUUACACACAGGCUCUCUCUCUCUCUCUCACUCUCUCUUUCUCUCUCUCUCUCUCUCAUACACACACGCACACACAGAGGGGAGGAGGAAGAGAGAGUUUCUGUCCCGGCUGCAGCAUCUCCCGGCAACACACAGUGGGACAGAGGGACGAGGGCCAGGCAGUACUCAGAAACCACGGCAAACAGCCCGGCGCAGCGCAGAGCCCUCCUCGCACCGGCCAGAAGCCCGCCGCUGAGGAGUAAUCGGCCAUCACGUCCCUCGCCAGAUCAACCGGGUGAGACGGAGCCGAGGCCAGCCGGCAGGAGGUGAGGCGAAGGUCGGGUCGGAGGAGGAGGAGGAGGAGGAGGGGGGGGGGCGGCGGCGGCGA
Long non-coding RNA from Anguilla anguilla (European eel), 756 nucleotides. RefSeq lists it as uncharacterized. NCBI's taxonomy places the organism in Eukaryota, Metazoa, Chordata, Actinopteri, Anguilliformes, Anguillidae. The record is from RefSeq and is a predicted model, not a curated record. The transcript is spliced from 3 exons.